RNAcentral lists this ribosomal RNA (253 nucleotides) under uncultured bacterium. RNAcentral describes it as "partial 16S ribosomal RNA". It matches the Rfam family "Bacterial small subunit ribosomal RNA", at positions 524 to 776 of the family's 1533-position model. The record is from RNAcentral.
UACGAAGGGGGCUAGCGUUGCUCGGAAUCACUGGGCGUAAAGGGCGCGUAGGCGGAUCUUUAAGUCAGGGGUGAAAGCCUGAGGCUCAACCUCAGAAUUGCCUUUGAUACUGGCGAUCUCGAGUCCGGGAGAGGUGAGUGGAACUGCGAGUGUAGAGGUGAAAUUCGUAGAUAUUCGCAAGAACACCAGUGGCGAAGGCGGCUCACUGGCCCGGUACUGACGCUGAGGUGCGAAAGCGUGGGGAGCAAACAGG